CACGCCACUGCACUCCAGCCUGGGUGACAGAGAGAGACUCUGUCUCAAAUAAAUAACUAUCAUCCUGGCCAUCAGUUUCAAGGGCGCUUCAAGCAGAGAAACUGGAGGCCAGGAGACCCGCCCAGACACUGCUAUAAUAGACCAGGCAGGAGAAACUGGAGCUGUGGAAAUGGAGAGGGGAGGGACAAGCCCCAAAUUUGACCCUGUGAAUCCCAGCUCCUGUUUAUCAGAAGGAAGCCGGCCCAGUAGGUGAAUAAAAGGAUUAUGAGCAAAUCUAACGCUCUGGGGUGGAGAGCAGGAGGCAGUAAGGUGCCUACUGUGUGCCACAUACCCUACUGAGUGCUGUGACCUAGCAGUGAAGUUGUCACCUUGGGGGUACAUGUUCUAUAUCUCCCCAUCGUCUGAAGUGGGCACCCUCCAUUUCACAGAUGGGAAAAUCGAGGCUCGGCAGGAUAUAGUGACCUGCUCCUGGGCCCAUGGCUUGUAGGUGACAGCCGAAAGUUGAACCCAGGUCUCCCUGGCUCCCAGCUCAUGUUCUUCUCCUUGUCUCUGGGGCUCUAAUCUCUCCAAGGAAAACAACCCCAGCCCCAUGAGCCACAGAACCAUGGGCUCCCUGGGCCCCCCAGAAGCCCAAAAGUGACCAUGGGGGGUGAUGAGACAGCAGCGUUUGUAAUUAGCCCCGUGGCUGAACCGAAGACCUCCCACCAGGAUCCAGCCAGAGCCCGUCUCUGGGGAAGGCGGGUGGGGAUUAAGUUCUCAGAAGAGGAUUUGGGCUCCCGAGUGCCUGUGUGGCUUCCUCUGAGCCUCGCAGGGACUCUGCCUUGAUCACAGCGCCAGGGCCUUUUCUGGCUUCUCAGCAGUCUGUGUGAACCUUCAGAUGGGGUGGGCACACGUGGCACCCCCAGCCAAGCAGGGGACGGGCCGGACUCGGUCCUCCAGUGUCACCUCUCCCUCCUGCCACUGGAACCGAGGCUUAGAAUCACUGAGGCGGUGGGAACAUAGCUGUGGGCACAAGAGUGGACAUUUCUACGGCGUUCCCUGCUGACCAGGCGCUGUUCUCACGUGCCUCACAGCACACAUUAACUCAUCUUCCCCGCAACCAGCCCUGGAGGGCAGGGACUGUGAUUUUCCCCAUUUUACAGAUGAAGAAACAGAAGCAGAAAUGUUUAAACUUAUGGGAAGAUACACCACUAACAAGGGCUGGAGCCAGGACUCUAGCCAUGCAGUGUGGCUGCAGAGUACAGGAUUUUAAUCACCCGUUGCAUCCUCUGGCGUCGGGCAGGGCUGGACUUCAGGCUGGGUUUUCCCCGUUCCCAGCUGCACCCACGUCGUGUCUCCUCCUGGAGUCUAAGUUUCCUGUGCUGUGACUGCAGGCGGAGAGGAGGGCCCAACGUCUAGGGGAUUUCAUGCUGCAUCUAGAAGCCAAAACGCUGACACCCCUUGAAAAGGAGGGCUGGGAACUGAGAUGAUUGACGCCCCAAGGGGAAGCGGGCGCUUCCCAGAACAGCCUCGGCAUGACCUGGACAUGGAGCCAGGCGGCUGCUCCUUGCCCAACCCAUGGGGGCCUUGCAAUGAUUAAUAAUAAUAAUGAUGAUGAUAAUGG
Molecule: long non-coding RNA, 1603 nt
Filed under: Homo sapiens (human)
Lineage: Eukaryota; Metazoa; Chordata; Mammalia; Primates; Hominidae
Description: HSALNT0290680
Source: RNAcentral